GGGCUUUUUAAUUCUUUUAUAACAAUUUAUCAUGACAAAUUAAAAACAGACAAACAAAAAUAUGUUUCACUUAAUAUAUCAAAAUAAUUUGUACAACAAAAAUCAUAGAAAAAAUUGUUUAACAUAAACAGCCUUUUCAUAAAUACUAUAUUUUGAAUCAAAAUAGAACAUAGAACUAUAAUUUUAUUUAUUUUAUUUAAUACAGUUCAGUGUAAUAAUGGAAGGGACAAAAUUUAAAAUUUCACUAAUAAUUAAUUUUGAAUUCUUGUGAUUGGUAAUCUCGUUCCGUAAAAAUAGACUUUUCUGCUCUAUUAGAAUAUAAUAUUGAAGCUCUUUUAUCAUCUUAGUAAAAAAUUAUAUAUAUAUUAUUAUAAUCAUACAUUAAAAGUUAAAAUGUUCUAGUAGUUAUGAUAUCUAUUUAAUAAUUUAUUUAUUGAAAUAUAAAAUAACUUAAUAAAUUUCCACACAUUGGAGCCCACAUUCUGGGUCUCUGAUUUGAACCAAAUGAAGUCCCUGCUUGUAAUGCUUCAAAUAAACUCUCCAUAACUCCUUGUGUGUGAUAACCAUUAAUGUUAACUAAUACAUUUUUAUGAGCUAACAGUUGUUUUUUUUCUUUUUCAAGUUUUUUUAUAAGCAUCACCAGUCCAAGGUGACUUUUUCCUCUGCCACUUAGUGCUUAUGAUUCUCCCUUUGAUAAUGCUACAAUUGUUUCAUUAAAUUAAAUUUGAUAUUUUUUAAUUGAAAU
This is a non-coding RNA of Cinara cedri, 745 nucleotides long. Lineage: Eukaryota; Metazoa; Arthropoda; Insecta; Hemiptera; Aphididae. The record is from the annotation of a GenBank genome assembly.